CCUACGGGGGGCUGCAGUGAGGAAUAUUGCGCAAUGGGGGAAACCCUGACGCAGCAACGCCGCGUGAGUGAGGAAGGUUUUCGGACCGUAAAGCUCUGUCGAGCGGGAAGAAGUGCAUGGUGGCUAAUAUCCAUUAUGCUUGACGGUACCGCUAAAGGAAGCACCGGCUAACUCCGUGCCAGCAGCCGCGGUAAUACGGGGGGUGCUAGCGUUGUUCGGAAUCAUUGGGCGUAAAGGGCGUGUAGGCGGCGAGGUGAAAGCCCUGGGCUUAACCUAGGAAGUGCAUUUGAAACUGUGCAGCUUGAGUAAGGGAGAGGAAAGUGGAAUUCCUGGUGUAGAGGUGAAAUUCGUAGAUAUCAGGAGGAACACCGGUGGCGAAGGCGACUUUCUGGCCCUAUACUGACGCUGAGACGCGAGAGCGUGGGUAGCAAACAGGAUUAGCUGGUAGUC
This 450-nucleotide ribosomal RNA is filed under the name uncultured bacterium. RNAcentral describes it as "partial 16S ribosomal RNA". It matches the Rfam family "Bacterial small subunit ribosomal RNA", at positions 338 to 795 of the family's 1533-position model. The record is from RNAcentral.